RNAcentral lists this ribosomal RNA (249 nucleotides) under uncultured bacterium. Its description in RNAcentral is "partial 16S ribosomal RNA". It matches the Rfam family "Bacterial small subunit ribosomal RNA", at positions 99 to 334 of the family's 1533-position model. The record is from RNAcentral.
CGCACGGGUGAGUAACGCGUAGGUAAUCUACCCUUAUGACUGGGAUAACAUUGGGAAACUGGUGCUAAUACCGGAUACACUUCUUUACUGCGGGGUAAAGGAGGAAAGGUGGCCUCUUCAUGAAAGCUACCGUAUAGGGAUGAGCCUGCGUACCAUUAGCUAGUAGGCGGGGUAACGGCCCACCUAGGCAACGAUGGUUAGCGGGUCUGAGAGGAUGAUCCGCCACACUGGAACUGGAACACGGACCAG